UACGUAGGGUGCGAGCGUUGCCCGGAUUUAUUGGGCGUAAAGGGCGCGUAGGCGGCCACGCACGUCCGUUGUGAAAUCGCUCGGCUCAACUGGGCGGGGUCAGCGGAUACGGAGUGGCUGGAGCAAGCUAGGGGGCAAUGGAAUUCCCGGUGUAGUGGUGGAAUGCGUAGAUAUCGGGAGUAACACCAGUGGCGAAGGCGGUUGCCUGGAGCUUUGCUGACGCUGAUGCGCGAAAGCGUGGGGAGCGAUCCGG
This 253-nucleotide ribosomal RNA is filed under the name uncultured bacterium. RNAcentral's name for it is "partial 16S ribosomal RNA". It matches the Rfam family "Bacterial small subunit ribosomal RNA", at positions 524 to 776 of the family's 1533-position model. The record is from RNAcentral.